RNAcentral lists this ribosomal RNA (775 nucleotides) under uncultured Neocallimastigales. Its description in RNAcentral is "partial large subunit ribosomal RNA". It matches the Rfam family "Eukaryotic large subunit ribosomal RNA", at positions 18 to 644 of the family's 3401-position model. Lineage: Eukaryota; Fungi; Neocallimastigomycota; Neocallimastigomycetes; Neocallimastigales. The record is from RNAcentral.
UCAGACGAUGCGUCAUGCAUAUCAAUAAGCGGAGGAAAAGAAACUAACAAGGAUUCCCUUAGUAACGGCGAGUGAAGCGGGAAGAGCUCAAAUUUGAAAUCUUCAAGGUUUUACCUUGACGAAUUGUAGUUUAAAGAAGUGUUUUCUGCUGAAGUUUUGGUAAAAGUUCUUUGGAAUAGGACAUCAUAGAGGGUGAGAAUCCCGUAUUUGACCAUUAUUUUCAGCUUUGUGAUACACUUUCAAAGAGUCGGAUUGUUUGGGAAUGCAGUCCAAAAUGGGUGGUAAAUUUCAUCUAAAGCUAAAUAUUGGCGAGAGACCGAUAGCGAACAAGUACCGUGAGGGAAAGAUGAAAAGAACUUUGAAAAGAGAGUUAAACAGUACGUGAAAUUGUCAAAAGGGAAGCGUUUGACACCAGUGUUGUUUUCUCGAAAAUCAAUUAAAAAUGGCUCGAUUUUGUAUUGUUUGAGACCUUAAAAGCUCACUGUACAUUUUUCGUGUCUUUUUUAAUGCACUUUUCGUUUAACAAGUCAACAUCAGUUUCUUUUGUUGUAAAAGGGUCAUUGGAAGGUGGCUUUCUUUUCGGAGAAAGUGUUUAUAGCCUUUGGCCUCUGCAAUCGGAGAGACUGAGGUCUGCAGCGUAGACUCUUCGGGGUUAGAUACAUUUGUGCUAAGUUAUAGCUUUUUAUAGACAACUUGUUGACUAUAAUUAGUCUUGUAGCUUACUCGCUUAUGCUAUUUUACCUACGCUUAGGAUGUUGACUGAUAUGUAGUCGUA